Molecule: ribosomal RNA, 758 nt
Filed under: Vreelandella aquamarina
Lineage: Bacteria; Pseudomonadati; Pseudomonadota; Gammaproteobacteria; Oceanospirillales; Halomonadaceae
Description: bacterial SSU rRNA
Rfam family: Bacterial small subunit ribosomal RNA
Source: RNAcentral
GCGGGCGCAGCUACCAUGCAGUCGAGCGGUAACAGAUCCAGCUUGCUGGAUGCUGACGAGCGGCGGACGGGUGAGUAAUGCAUAGGAAUCUGCCCGAUAGUGGGGGAUAACCUGGGGAAACCCAGGCUAAUACCGCAUACGUCCUACGGGAGAAAGGGGGCUUCGGCUCCCGCUAUCGGAUGAGCCUAUGUCGGAUUAGCUAGUUGGUGAGGUAACGGCUCACCAAGGCGACGAUCCGUAGCUGGUCUGAGAGGAUGAUCAGCCACAUCGGGACUGAGACACGGCCCGAACUCCUACGGGAGGCAGCAGUGGGGAAUAUUGGACAAUGGGGGGAACCCUGAUCCAGCCAUGCCGCGUGUGUGAAGAAGGCCCUCGGGUUGUAAAGCACUUUCAGCGAGGAAGAACGCCUAGCGGUUAAUACCCGCUAGGAAAGACAUCACUCGCAGAAGAAGCACCGGCUAACUCCGUGCCAGCAGCCGCGGUAAUACGGAGGGUGCAAGCGUUAAUCGGAAUUACUGGGCGUAAAGCGCGCGUAGGUGGCUUGAUAAGCCGGUUGUGAAAGCCCCGGGCUCAACCUGGGAACGGCAUCCGGAACUGUCAAGCUAGAGUGCAGGAGAGGAAGGUAGAAUUCCCGGUGUAGCGGUGAAAUGCGUAGAGAUCGGGAGGAAUACCAGUGGCGAAGGCGGCCUUCUGGACUGACACUGACACUGAGGUGCGAAAGCGUGGGUAGCAAACAGGAUUAGAUACCUUGGUUAGUC